UUCCCCUAGUAACUGCGAGUGAAGAGGGAAAAGCUCAAAUUUAGAAUCUGGCAGUCUAUGGCUGUCCGAGUUGUAAAUUAGAGAAGUGUUAUCCGCUCAAGCCUGUGCAAAAGUCUCUUGGAAAAGGGCAUCAUAGAGGGUGACAAUCCCGUCUUUGGCACAGAUUACUUGCGCUUUUGUGAUGCGCUCUCAACGAGUCGAGUUGUUUGGGAAUGCAGCUCCAAAUGGGUGGUAAAUUCCAUCUAAAGCUAAAUAUGGGCGAGAAACCGAUAGCGCACAAGUACCGUGAGGGAAAGAUGAAAAGAACUUUGAAAAGAGAGUUAAACAGUACGUGAAAUUGUUGAAAGGGAAACGCUUGAAGUCAGUCGUGUCCUUCAAAAAUCAAUCUGACUCUGUUUGGUUGGAUGUAUUUUUUGUGGGAUGGGUCAGCAUCAAUUUUGACCAUUGGAUAAAAGACUUGGGAAUGUGGCAUUUUCGGAUGCGUUAUAGCCCUUGUUUGUAUACAAUGAUUGGGAUUGAGGAACUCAGUGUGACUUUUGUUUGGAGACUUGUCUCACAUAACGCACUUAGGAUGCUGGCAUAAUGGCUUUAAUCGACCCGUCUUGAAACACGGACCAAGGAGUCUAACAUGCAUGCAAGUGUUUGGGUGGAAAACUCAAGCGCGCAWUGAAAGUGAAAGUUGAGAACCCUAUCAUGGGGUGCACCGACGCCCGGUCUUGACCUUUUGUGACGGACCUGCGGUAGAGCAUGUAUGUUGGGACCCGAAAGAUGGUGAACUAUGCCUGAAUAGGGUGAAGCCAGAGGAAACUCUGGUGGAAGCUCGUAGCGAUUCUGACGUGCAAAUCGAUCGUCGAAUUUGGKUAUAGGGGCGAA
This 873-nucleotide ribosomal RNA is filed under the name Hodophilus decurrentior. RNAcentral's name for it is "partial large subunit ribosomal RNA". It matches the Rfam family "Eukaryotic large subunit ribosomal RNA", at positions 75 to 927 of the family's 3401-position model. The record is from RNAcentral. Lineage: Eukaryota; Fungi; Basidiomycota; Agaricomycetes; Agaricales; Clavariaceae.